This 245-nucleotide ribosomal RNA is filed under the name uncultured bacterium. Its description in RNAcentral is "partial 16S ribosomal RNA". It matches the Rfam family "Bacterial small subunit ribosomal RNA", at positions 524 to 768 of the family's 1533-position model. The record is from RNAcentral.
AACGUAGGAGGCGAGCGUUAUCCGGAUUUACUGGGCGUAAAGCGCACGCAGGCGGCUUCGUGCGUCGGCUGUGAAAGCUCCCGGCUUAACUGGGAGAGGCCAGUCGAAACGGCGAGGCUUGAGGUUGGGAGAGGGGUGCGGAAUUCCCGGUGUAGUGGUGGAAUGCGUAGAUAUCGGGAGGAACACCAGUGGCGAAGGCGGCACCCUGGCCCACACCUGACGCUGAGGUGCGAAAGCGUGGGGAG